GGUGCUGUCGGUGGCGUCGUCGUUGGAAUCUGAAUCUUGAACUUUCCGAAGAGAGGAUCUGGGCUUCAGAGUUCUUACCAGGUAAUGAGAAACUAUAG
This 98-nucleotide long non-coding RNA is filed under the name Canis lupus familiaris (dog). RNAcentral describes it as "lncRNA (ENSCAFG00000053441.1, ENSCAFG00805010632.1, ENSCAFG00845008399.1)". The record is from RNAcentral. Lineage: Eukaryota; Metazoa; Chordata; Mammalia; Carnivora; Canidae.